This 76-nucleotide transfer RNA is filed under the name Bathymodiolus heckerae thiotrophic gill symbiont. Its description in RNAcentral is "tRNA-Trp-CCA". It matches the Rfam family "tRNA". Rfam says of the family: Transfer RNA (tRNA) molecules are approximately 80 nucleotides in length. Their secondary structure includes four short double-helical elements and three loops (D, anti-codon, and T loops). Further hydrogen bonds mediate the characteristic L-shaped molecular structure. tRNAs have two regions of fundamental functional importance: the anti-codon, which is responsible for specific mRNA codon recognition, and the 3' end, to which the tRNAs corresponding amino acid is attached (by aminoacyl-tRNA synthetases). tRNAs cope with the degeneracy of the genetic code in two manners: having more than one tRNA (with a specific anti-codon) for a particular amino acid; and 'wobble' base-pairing, i.e. permitting non-standard base-pairing at the 3rd anti-codon position. RNAcentral also lists the same sequence under 4 other names. The record is from RNAcentral.
AGGCGAGUGGCUCAACUGGUAGAGUGGCGGUUUCCAAAACCGUUGGUUGGGGGUUCGAGUCCCUCCUCGCCUGCCA